GAUGAACGCUGGCGGCGUGCCUAAUACAUGCCAGUCGAGCGAACGGACGAGAAGCUUGCUUCUCUGAUGUUAGCGGCGGACGGGUGAGUAACACGUGGAUAGCCUACCUAUAAGACUGGGAUAACUUCGGGAAACCGGAGCUAAUACCGGAUGAUAUUUUGAACCGCAUGGUUCAAAAGUGAAAGACGGUCUUGCUGUCACUUAUAGAUGGAUCCGCGCUGCAUUAGCUAGUUGGUAAGGUAACGGCUUACCAAGGCAACGAUGCAUAGCCGACCUGAGAGGGUGAUCGGCCACACUGGAACUGAGACACGGUCCAGACUCCUACGGGAGGCAGCAGUAGGGAAUCUUCCGCAAUGGGCGAAAGCCUGACGGAGCAACGCCGCGUGAGUGAUGAAGGUCUUCGGAUCGUAAAACUCUGUUAUUAGGGAGGAACAUAUGUGUAAGUAACUGUGCACAUCUUGACGGUACCUAAUCAGAAAGCCACGGCUAACUACGU
Molecule: ribosomal RNA, 496 nt
Filed under: uncultured bacterium
Lineage: Bacteria
Description: partial 16S ribosomal RNA
Rfam family: Bacterial small subunit ribosomal RNA
Source: RNAcentral